Molecule: ribosomal RNA, 1387 nt
Filed under: Salmonella enterica
Lineage: Bacteria; Pseudomonadati; Pseudomonadota; Gammaproteobacteria; Enterobacterales; Enterobacteriaceae
Description: partial 23S ribosomal RNA
Rfam family: Bacterial large subunit ribosomal RNA
Source: RNAcentral
GGUUAAGCGACUAAGCGUACACGGUGGAUGCCCUGGCAGUCAGAGGCGAUGAAGGGCGUGCUAAUCUGCGAUAAGCGCCGGUAAGGUGAUAUGAACCGUUAUAACCGGCGAUACCCGAAUGGGGAAACCCAGUGUGACUUGUCACACUAUCAUUAACUGAAUCCAUAGGUUAAUGAGGCGAACCGGGGGAACUGAAACAUCUAAGUACCCCGAGGAAAAGAAAUCAACCGAGAUUCCCCCAGUAGCGGCGAGCGAACGGGGAGGAGCCCAGAGCCUGAAUCAGCAUGUGUGUUAGUGGAAGCGUCUGGAAAGGCGCGCGAUACAGGGUGACAGCCCCGUACACAAAAGCGCAUGUGCUGUGAGCUCGAUGAGUAGGGCGGGACACGUGGUAUCCUGUCUGAAUAUGGGGGGACCAUCCUCCAAGGCUAAAUACUCCUGACUGACCGAUAGUGAACCAGUACCGUGAGGGAAAGGCGAAAAGAACCCCGGCGAGGGGAGUGAAAAAGAACCUGAAACCGUGUACGUACAAGCAGUGGGAGCCCCACCACCAAAGCAUUCUCUGGUGUUGAAGGCCCUGCAAAGCAGCAUCGCGGUGGCGGAGCGUCGUUUGCGACGCCCGACACACAAAACAAGCGGUGAGUGCUUUGGGGUGGGGUGACUGCGUACCUUUUGUAUAAUGGGUCAGCGACUUAUAUUCUGUAGCAAGGUUAACCGUAUAGGGGAGCCGGAGGGAAACCGAGUCUUAAUUGGGCGUUAAGUUGCAGGGUAUAGACCCGAAACCCGGUGAUCUAGCCAUGGGCAGGUUGAAGGUUGGGUAACACUAACUGGAGGACCGAACCGACUAAUGUUGAAAAAUUAGCGGAUGACCUGUGGCUGGGGGUGAAAGGCCAAUCAAACCGGGAGAUAGCUGGUUCUCCCCGAAAGCUAUUUAGGUAGCGCCUCGUGAAUUCAUCUCCGGGGGUAGAGCACUGUUUCGGCUAGGGGGUCAUCCCGACUUACCAACCCGAUGCAAACUGCGAAUACCGGAGAAUGUUAUCACGGGAGACACACGGCGGGUGCUAACGUCCGUCGUGAAGAGGGAAACAACCCAGACCGCCAGCUAAGGUCCCAAAGUCAUGGUUAAGUGGGAAACGAUGUGGGAAGGCCCAGACAGCCAGGAUGUUGGCUUAGAAGCAGCCAUCAUUUAAAGAAAGCGUAAUAGCUCACUGGUCGAGUCGGCCUGCGCGGAAGAUGUAACGGGGCUAAACCAUGCACCGAAGCUGCGGCAGCGACACUGUGUGUUGUUGGGUAGGGGAGCGUUCUGUAAGCCUGUGAAGGUGGCCUGUGAGGGUUGCUGGAGGUAUCAGAAGUGCGAAUGCUGACAUAAGUAACGAUAAAGCGGGUGAAA